AUAUAUAUUGUUGACACCCGUUGACAAAAAAAUUUCAGGGGGCACCAAAAUCAGCCCUUCAUUCCCAGCCAUUCAUUGUGCUUUGCACGCCACUGCCAAUGACACAAAUGAGCACAAAUGAAAAAUAAAGUGAAUAAAACGAUAUUAUCAAUUCAGGAACUCAACCGGCAAAUUUCAUGGAACAUUUUUUUUUUUUAAUUUGAUUUGUAAAUGCAGGCAUCUGCCAGUCCGCCUUGCCAGCCCAUCACUGCUCUCCACCUUCCACACAACGACGAGGCACUCCCUGCAUGGCAAACACUGCAGGCCCGCCUGCGCACAAAGGCUGGGUAAACACUUCUCCACCGAGGGCCCACUCACCUCGCAAAAGGCAGAGACAAAGGCAGGGAGGAUCCCCGUUUUGCGCCUCUAUUAAUAGUGGCCGUGACAACAACGAGCACAGCUUCAAGCCCACGGACAGCCCAGCGGUUGAGGACGCUAUCGGCUACAGCGCAAGGCGGAAAAAAAAUAAAAGAAGGCUCAAAGGAAUGGCGCAGCAGUCCAGUUGCUGCCGAGGCCACGACAUGUAACAACGGGAGCAGGUCCUGAUACUUCCGACUCUUCCUGGAAAGAUGCUGCAAAAUUCAGCCACAUACGCCACCCCACCGACCCCCCUGCUAGAACUGCCACUGCCCAGUACCCCUUUGCAGCUAAUCUUCAUGGAAGUUUUUCCGUGGGAACUUUUGUCCAUUCAUCCAGAAGAAUUUUUUUAAGGUCAGACGUGGCCGAUGUUGGACCAGAUAAGCUCACAAUCUGGGGUUUUGAUGGCAAUGAAGUCAGCACUCUGGAGUCUUCCACAUCAAAUUCCUCCAGCCAUGCCUUAAUGGAUCCUAGGAGAAGAGGACUUUUCGCAAAUUUAAGAGAAUAACUGCCUUGGUCAUUGCAAAAAUAUUCUUCACAAUAUGUUCUAUACAGCACUAUUAGUCUUGACAAAGCAUUGUGAUAAAUAUUGUGUGUGUGGAAUAUAAGUUACGCAGUAAAAUCCACCUG
Hippocampus comes (tiger tail seahorse) is the source of this 1026-nucleotide long non-coding RNA. RefSeq lists it as uncharacterized. Lineage: Eukaryota; Metazoa; Chordata; Actinopteri; Syngnathiformes; Syngnathidae. The record is from RefSeq and is a predicted model, not a curated record. The transcript has 3 exons.